UACGUAGGGUGCAAGCGUUGUCCGGAAUUAUUGGGCGUAAAGAGCUCGUAGGCGGUUCGUCGCGUCGGCUGUGAAAUCCCGAGGCUCAACCUCGGGUCUGCAGUCGAUACGGGCGGACUGGAGUUCGGCAGGGGAGACUGGAAUUCCUGGUGUAGCGGUGAAAUGCGCAGAUAUCAGGAGGAACACCGGUGGCGAAGGCGGGUCUCUGGGCCGAUACUGACGCUGAGACGCGAAAGCGUGGGGAGCGAACAGG
This 253-nucleotide ribosomal RNA is filed under the name uncultured bacterium. RNAcentral's name for it is "partial 16S ribosomal RNA". It matches the Rfam family "Bacterial small subunit ribosomal RNA", at positions 524 to 776 of the family's 1533-position model. The record is from RNAcentral.